GAAAUGAAUGGGGUGCUGAAAGGAAUGCUCUCAGAAUGGUUUUCCUCCGGGUUCCUGAACCUAGAACGGGUUACCUGGCAUUCACCGUGUGAAGUGCUUCAGAAAAUCAGUGAGGCUGAGGCUGUGCAUCCUGUAAAAAACUGGAUGGACAUGAAGCGCCGCGUUGGGCCCUACAGAAGGUGUUACUUCUUUUCUCACUGUUCGACCCCUGGGGAGCCCCUGGUCGUUUUGCACGUGGCACUGACUGGUGACAUCUCCAGCAACAUCCAGGCAAUCGUGAAGGAACAUCCUCCAUCAGAAACAGAAGAGAAGAACAAAAUCACUGCUGCGAUCUUUUAUUCCAUCAGCUUGACCCAGCAGGGACUCCAAGGGGUGGAGCUGGGAACAUUCCUCAUAAAGCGAGUCGUCAAGGAGUUGCAG
This 420-nucleotide non-coding RNA is filed under the name Homo sapiens (human). Lineage: Eukaryota; Metazoa; Chordata; Mammalia; Primates; Hominidae. The record is from RNAcentral.